RNAcentral lists this ribosomal RNA (274 nucleotides) under uncultured bacterium. RNAcentral describes it as "partial 16S ribosomal RNA". It matches the Rfam family "Bacterial small subunit ribosomal RNA", at positions 523 to 796 of the family's 1533-position model. The record is from RNAcentral.
AUACGGAGGGUGCGAGCGUUAAUCGGAAUUACAGGGCGUAAAGCGUACGUAGGCGGUUGGUUAAGUUAGAUGUGAAAGCCCCGGGCUUAACCUGGGAACUGCAUUUAAAGCUGGCGAACUAGAGUUGAGUAGAGGGGAGUGGAAUUUCAGGUGUAGCGGUGAAAUGCGUAGAGAUCUGAAGGAACACCAGUGGCGAAGGCGACUCCCUGGACUCGAACUGACGCUGAGGUACGAAAGCGUGGGUAGCAAACGGGAUUAGAAACCCCAGUAGUCC